UCAGGUGGAUUUGGGUCUGAUUGGUAGGAAUUCUUCGUCCCCCGCCUCCACCGGCAGCUCGGGGAGUGUCGGCACUGCGUGGACCGGCGUGUCGCGCAGCUCCCCGCGACCGAACACCU
This is a long non-coding RNA of Papilio polytes (common Mormon), 119 nucleotides long. RefSeq lists it as uncharacterized. NCBI's taxonomy places the organism in Eukaryota, Metazoa, Arthropoda, Insecta, Lepidoptera, Papilionidae. The transcript is spliced from 2 exons. The record is from RefSeq and is a predicted model, not a curated record.